Molecule: long non-coding RNA, 2553 nt
Organism: Crotalus tigris (Tiger rattlesnake)
Lineage: Eukaryota; Metazoa; Chordata; Lepidosauria; Squamata; Viperidae
Exons: 3
Source: RefSeq, a predicted model, not a curated record
UUUGCUGAAGAAAAUUGGUCUCUCUUCUACAAUGCAGAACAAAUGCUGGCCUCUCGGGGUUUCACUCUUCAAAUAACAUGAUGCCAGUGCAGAACUAACUAGGACUGGGUACCCCCAAACUAACUUAGAUUCAACUAAGCCCUAUAGAUUUUAGUCCUUGGGUCCUACUGCUUCUUCCUGGUCUCCCUGGCUGACCCCCAUCUUGAGUCUCGGGUUUCUUUCAUUACAGUCGCCCCCAUGAUUUGCUUCCCAGGCCCACACUAACCAAUUUACCAAAUGGUGUGGGUUUUUUUUUCUGCAGAAACCAACAGCUGGAACAAACUCUUCCUUAUUGUGCACCCGUUCUUUCUCAGGGUGUGUCUCUUUGCGGUGAUCCAACGAUGUUGGGAAUUGCACCAGGCAGGUAUUGCUGCUGUUGCAAAGCGGACUCUCACCAGAACUGCCUUCGCAAGGCAUGAAAGGCUCCAGAACCAGCCCAGAUGCACGAAGAACCCUGGAUUGCACCACGUUGGCUUGGAAAAGAUAAUUACAGUGUCAGUGAAAAGGCUGCUGUUAUAUAAUUGCUUGCCACGUUCAUACCUGCAAACAAUUCAGCAGCUAAUUGCAGAAACUGGAGAGAGCUUAAUGAGAGGAGUUCGCUAGAAAGGAGCCAAGCCCAGCCGCGAGUAAUCAGACGUGGAAUGCAGCCUGUCCAUCUUGGAGAAAUUGGAGAGAAAGCAGGAGCUGGGAUGCCGGUGCGUCACCUGGACAGUCAGGGGUACCUGCGGGAGGUGUGUCUAUCAGAAAAGUGAAGACCCACAGCCAAGACUGCACUACUGAAGCCGCCAUCUUGACUUUUGAACACCUCUGCCCCCGCCCCCACUGUGGACCUCCUGUAUCCAUCUGUUCAACUCUGAGACCAAGAGGAAAAUUUUGGCCCCUUAACAAUCCCAGGAGAUGAAUGAGAUUGCAAUCUGAAAGCAAUCUAAUUAAUGAGAUUUCUCUUUUUCUUUCCUACUUUCCAUCUUGUGAAUAGAGACUUUGGGAGAACCUUGAUUUUUGUCAAAGUGAGAUACCAAGAUAUUGGCACAGAGUUAUCUUCUUUAUCUUUGUGUACACCUAAGCAAAAGGUCCAACAAGCCAGGCAACACACCUCCUCCUGCUACCAAUUCAAAAAUCACCGGGAAUUGUGCCCAAGCCAAGCAGGUUCCAAAACUGCAGUGUUACCUCUUCCCAGAUAUGCCUCCUCCCUUGUUUUGAGACAAGCCUGCAACUCCAGCUGAAAUAUGGAUGGAGAUGGUUGGAGACAGUCCCUUAUUUAUUCUGACUUCCUGGGAGAGAGCCAGUCUUUCCCGGAGCUUGUCCCAGAGCCUGGGAUGUAGUUCAGUAGGUCAAAGCCGCCACUGAGACUGGAGAUAAUGUUAGGGCGCCUGGGGGAAAUAAUCUGGCGUCUUGGAAAUGAAAAGGAGAUGAACCUCAAGAACAUGUUUUCUAGCCCAUGAAAUAGGGAUUAUUUGACUCUGUGGAAGUAGCCGAAUGGGAUUCCCAGCAUCCUUCACCAUUGGCCAGGCUGGUUGGCUUGAUUAGGAGUUGUAGCUCCAUACCUUUGGCAUUCACAGGUUCCUUGCUAUGUUUGAUGUUUCUCAACCUUGGCAAUUUGAAGAACGAUUGCAGGAAUUGGGUAGGUCUAGUCUAGAGAAAAGAAGGACUAAGGAUGAUAUGAUAUCAGUGUUCCAAUAUCUGACGGGCUCAAACAAAGACGAAGAGGUGAACCUAUUUCCAAAGCACCUGAAGGCAAGACAAGAAACAAGGGAUGGAAACUCAUCAAGGAGAGAAGCAACCUAGAAUUAAGGAGAAACUCCCUAACAGUGAGAACAAUUAACCAAUGGAACAGAUUGCCUUCAGAAAUUGUGGGUGCUCCAUCACUGAAGAUCUUUAAGAAGAGAUUAGACAGUCACUAGACAGGCAUGAAGAAGCAGAAGAAUCUCCAACCACGGGAGAUGGUGAUUCUUGCCCAGACACUACUCUCGGCCAGCAUCUUUGUACAAGCUAAAAAAUCCAGACGGCAAUUUCUUAAGCCUCUUAAUUCCCAGCCUGUUCAUAUAUGGAAGUGAAGCAACUUAAGGCUUCAACCAACGUGUCCACAGGGUGCGGUCAAAAAAAGGGAAAGACGGUGGCCAUAAGAGUGUGAUUGACGCUCUACUGAUGUUUUAAUGGGUAUCACAAAGGAGGCUUUGAUUGCACUGCUUUGACCAUACCUUGUGGACAACUCUGGACUGUGGUGUACAAAGCCCUCAACAACUUCAUCCUUUAGAGUAGGUUCUGCAAUGUCUGUUCUUUCACUGUUCUUGAGAGACCUCAAUUCAAAGAAUGACCAUGGACAACAAAGCCAAGCCAUUGCGUGUGUUGAUUCCGACAGACUGAGACCCCCAAUUUUGGCUCCUGCUUAAUUAGAGGGCUUCUCCUGUCUAACAGGCUCCUCAGCCAUUGGGCGUGGAGCUCCCCAGAUCGCAGGAAAGCUGCCAACUUUAUGCAAACGGCAGCCAGCCACGUGCAGCCAGAAAAAAACGAGAG